UACGUAUGGGGCUAGCGUUGUUCGGAAUUAUUGGGUGUAAAGGGCGUCUAGGCGGGAAAUUAAGUUAGGUGUGUAAUCCAUAAGCUCAACUUGUGAACUGCACCUAAAACUGGUUUUCUUGAGUUAGGGAGAGGAGAGCGGAAUUCUCGGUGUAGCGGUGAAAUGCGUAGAUAUCGAGAAGAACACCAGUGGCGAAGGCGGCUCUCUGGCCUAUAACUGACGCUGAAGCGCGAAAGCGUGGGUAGCGAACGGG
This 253-nucleotide ribosomal RNA is filed under the name uncultured bacterium. RNAcentral's name for it is "partial 16S ribosomal RNA". It matches the Rfam family "Bacterial small subunit ribosomal RNA", at positions 524 to 776 of the family's 1533-position model. The record is from RNAcentral.